Hippocampus zosterae (dwarf seahorse) is the source of this 2432-nucleotide long non-coding RNA. RefSeq lists it as uncharacterized. The record is from RefSeq and is a predicted model, not a curated record. Lineage: Eukaryota; Metazoa; Chordata; Actinopteri; Syngnathiformes; Syngnathidae. The transcript is spliced from 3 exons.
CGUUUAUAAUUAUUUGUGUUUCAUGGAAUGUGUUGUUUUCUUGCAUCCCAUGGGUCCACCUGUUGUUAGCCUGGUCCCUUGUGUCAACCAAAACGCUUCCUCAGCAACUCAUGACUUGUCCAGAUGUCCCCACGCUGUCUCGUCAGUUUAGUAUUCAGCCCUCUAGCUACAGUCUGUGUUUGUUGUUUUUGCUCCCAUUCUUGUCAAUUGUCACAGUUUUGGUCUGCUAUGUUCCCCUGCUAUGUUGUGGUUUAUGACUUUGAAAUUUGUUUUUCUGACUUUUGUUAAUUUGGUACUUUUGAUCAAUUGUCUUUUUGUUCUUUGAAAAUGAAUUAUUUUUGGAGAUUAUUCAUUCUCUGGCUAUUCUUCUUGCCCCACUUCUUCCCACACGUGGUCCAUCUUUUUCACUUCAAUGCCACCAAAAAAAACCAACCAAACCAAACAAACUAAAAAGAAAAUGUGUAACAGACCAGAUACAGUACAGAGUGCAAAUUGCUCUGUAGUAUUCAUGUACUGUCAUCUCUGAAAUUGCUGAUCAAAACCGCAAUGAUCUGUAUCGAGGCAGAUUUUCAUAUUCAUCUCUUGUGUAGAAUCUCUUUAGAUUGCGUUGGUUUCCCUAAUAUUUUGACUUGUUGGUUCGUAUCUAAAUACAGCGAAAUCAUAUGCAUUGUACUGUCUGACUUAUGGAAGCAAAGCUCCGUGAUUUUGGUUGACAACAGAAAAUCAGUGCAAACCAUGACUGUAUGAUUAAUGAUGUUGGGCUAAUUAUGAGCAAAACCCUCUUUUGGAAAACGUCCCACCUUACUGUAAAUGGCGGGAUUGUUCUCCCUUUUUCCAGUUGAUCUAGGAGCACAGCCAGAUGAGUUUGCAGGGAAGCUAACCUCGUAAGGUCAGUCCUUGGAAACUCUUUGGAAUUCUCCUCUUUCUGGAAUUGUUUGCUUUUUUUGAGGGGGUGGGGGAGGGUGACUAUAUUUUCCAGAGGAAUAUUUUAUCAGUGACAACAAUGGAAGAAAUGCCAAAUCAUGUAUGCAGUUUUCCUAGAAAGGAAAUAAAUCAACUAUGCUCAUGUUUGAUCAACUUCAAAUCCAAUAAUGUGCAAAACCAGCUCCACUAAUGUUUUUGUUUCAAUGUAAAUACUGUACUGUAUUUUUCGGACCAUCGGGCUCGUUGAAUUUUCUCUGCACCUUGUGAUGUGAUGUAUGGGUCACCAUCAACUACUUCCUGCUUCCGCAUAUGGAUGAGAUUCAUCAAGAACCUGUGAAUGAAGACGUUUGUCUAAAUAUUUUUGUAUUUUUGUUAGAAUGAUUUCAGGUAACAUUGUAACCUCGUGGUCAGUGUUGAGGUUUGGGGCGUUGGAAGCCCCCUAUCCUGCCAACGGCCUCUCGGCCUCUGAAGUGGGAUCGGCUCCAAGAAGCCGAGUUCAUAAUGAGGACAAAUGCGAUGGAAAUGUGGAUGGAUUGAAAUACUUGAAUGUCAGAAUAUGGUUUCCUCUCUCCAAUCCAAAAGGGGCACAACCAUACCAUCGGAGUUUAGGGUGUCAGUCAAUUUACAUUUCACCACUGACUUAUGGUCCCAAAUAUUGGCUGGUGACUGCAAGAAUGUGGCUGAAGAGGCAUACUAAGAGCUUCUUCCGUCAUGUGGCCGCUCUCCCGGAGCACAAUACCGGUGAAGAGCCACGGACCUCCGCGUUGAGCAUUGAUGCAUCUUGUAGCUGGGACUAAAUCCAAGUCAAUCGUUCCCGUGGUGCCGUCUGAAACUACAGUGUUUGGAGAGAGAGAGAAAGAGGGAGAGAGAGUGGCCCUUCUUUGGAACUCAAAUGAAGGGAGCUAAAAGCUGACUGGGCUCCAACCGGUUUCCAAGGAACACGGUGAAGCUCGGACAUCGCGUCUCGACUAAGAAUGCCAAGACGGCACGAAACGAAGGUCCAGCUGCCGUUGGAUCUCCAGGAGCUGCUUCUCCUGCAUCCUCCUCUCCUUGAUGUCCUGCAGGACCUUCUCUCCUGGCUGAGGGUCCCCAUCAUGCCUCAGGUGAAUGUCCGAGGCACGUUCCUGAUAGACAAUAGACACGCGAUCGAUUGUCACUCAGAGCCAAGGGAGUCGACGAGCAUAUGGACGUAUUUGGGCACUGUCUUAGAAUCGCACUCGCUGCUGAUGGCUCUCACAUUUGGGAGUCCAUCCAUGUAGCAGUUCAUCAUCAUUAAUUUGAGUUGAGAGAUUGAAAUUGCUUCAAGACUUGAGAGAUGCGCAUUGCUGUGGUUCGGCCGCUGCUCAGCAAAGAAUCACAUCAGAUACUCACACGAGAAGCAUACCAUGGCCGUAACCUCACAUAAACUACACGCGUGCUCUGGGUUGACUAAGGCAUGCUGUGGAAAUGGCCGAGAGGACACUAAUGGGGUUCUAUUUUCAUACACACACAUGCACUUUGCGCAUCUU